RNAcentral lists this transfer RNA (75 nucleotides) under Acidobacteriota bacterium. RNAcentral describes it as "Acidobacteria bacterium tRNA-Gly". It matches the Rfam family "tRNA". From Rfam's summary of the family: Transfer RNA (tRNA) molecules are approximately 80 nucleotides in length. Lineage: Bacteria; Pseudomonadati; Acidobacteriota. The record is from RNAcentral.
GCGGGCGUAGCUCAGGGGUAGAGCACGUGCCUUCCAAGCUCGGUGUCAUCGGUUCGAAUCCGAUCGUCCGCUCCA